Molecule: long non-coding RNA, 133 nt
Organism: Perca flavescens (yellow perch)
Lineage: Eukaryota; Metazoa; Chordata; Actinopteri; Perciformes; Percidae
Exons: 3
Source: RefSeq, a predicted model, not a curated record
GUUGGAAUGAGUAUAUGUUGUCUUAGUCAUAUUGGACCCGAAGGCAGUUGUCGCCAUUGGAGUGGGAGCAGGAGCAGGAGCUUUAGUUGCUGCGGUCGGGGUUCCUUUUGUUCUGGGAGCCAUAGGUUUCACC